UACGGAGGGUGCAAGCGUUAUCCGGAUUCACUGGGUUUAAAGGGUGCGUAGGUGGGUUGGUAAGUCAGUGGUGAAAUCUCCGAGCUUAACUUGGAAACUGCCAUUGAUACUAUCAGUCUUGAAUACCGUGGAGGUCGGCGGAAUAUGUCAUGUAGCGGUGAAAUGCUUAGAUAUGACAUAGAACACCAAUUGCGAAGGCAGCUGACUACGCGAGUAUUGACACUGAGGCACGAAAGCGUGGGGAUCAAACAGG
This 253-nucleotide ribosomal RNA is filed under the name uncultured bacterium. RNAcentral's name for it is "partial 16S ribosomal RNA". It matches the Rfam family "Bacterial small subunit ribosomal RNA", at positions 524 to 776 of the family's 1533-position model. The record is from RNAcentral.